Non-coding RNA from Lonchura striata (white-rumped munia), 1941 nucleotides. The record is from RefSeq and is a predicted model, not a curated record. NCBI's taxonomy places the organism in Eukaryota, Metazoa, Chordata, Aves, Passeriformes, Estrildidae.
CUCCCCGAGGUGAUGGAUGUGUCUGUUCAGGUUGCUCUAGUGCUGUCCAUGCCUAGUUCUGCUACUGAAAACAGACUCACCACUUCUACUCACUCAGAUCUGCCUCCUUUCUGACUUUAGACAGAUUUGCAUGUGCUCACAGUGAAAUGCACAUCAAACUGAAAAAAUUUCCCUUUUAUGCUACUGAAAGAUACCCAGCCAAUCUGAGGAGCCACACAACUGCUCAGCCAAAAGUUCCUUCUGUGGCCACUGGGCUAAGAAGAUGAGGGCUUUUAAAAAGCAAAGCUUGAAUUCCUGCCAGAGGUGAAUGGAUGAAGGUAUGGCUGGUCUAACUUUGUAUUGGGACUCAGAUGCUUAUUAUUGUUACUGCUUUCAGGAGUUCUUUAGGUAAUCAGUAGUGAAGUUGCAACAAGAAUGCCAAGGGUAAUCAAGAGAGCCUUCAUGAGCUUGGAGUGACUGGACACAUUUUUUAUCCUCUGAACUUCUCCCGGAUAAGCUCACCUUGUUCUGUGAGGUCUUAAAUGAGGGCCAUUUAUUAAGUCUGAAAUGUCUUCAACACUUUGAUGAAUCUAAGAAGCUCUUGCGGAACUGAGACAACCAGGAAGCAUUUUAUUUCAUGCUCAGAUUUUUAAUUGCUUCCUUCUUAGAAGAACAAAGAAAUCUCCUACAGACUGAGAGCUAACAGCUGAUAUACUGGAGGAAAGUGCAGUCUCUGCUCCCAUUUGCUUAACCGUGGCUCAUGACAGCUUCCAAGAGAUCCCCUUUCCUCACCAGGAAGCUCUGGAGCACCACCCACUUAUUUAAAAAUUAUUUUCUAUUUGAGGCUGUGUCACAAAGAGCUGAUAGAACCUUUUUGUAUCCUUGAUUACCAUUGAGCCAUUAGGGAAAUCCCUACCAAACGGAACAAAUGCAGAGCAGAAAUUUUCACACAAUUUUUUGUUGAUAUUAUUGCAAAGCCUGUUCAGUGACAACUGUGAGAUUAUUUGGAAUAAUAUUUUACUGUAUUGUCUGUACAGUAAAAUACAAUGCAAACCAUAGUCACAGUCAUCCCUAGAUGACACCCAAGGUGUUAUAUCAGGCAGGUUCCCCAAAAUUACAGCAAGCAAGAUGCCAGGUUAUUUUCUAAUCUUGAAAGAAGGUACCCUUGUUUCACUAUGCAUCAGUCCAGUGCUACAAUGCUGGUUUUUAUCAUGCCAAAAUGUUACAUGUAACUUUUUAUUGUGUUUUACAUUCAAAAUGCACUAUCAUUCUGGACUUGGUUAGGGUAUAAUAUCAAAGUUUAAUUUUUACAACAAUUUAACACGUUUUGUCACAUAGAUCUAAGCUAAAGAGAUGCUUAAUUUCUGUUUUCUGGCAUACUAACAUCUCUAAAAGUAAACAGCAUGUCCAUAGUUUACUGUUCAUUAAAGCUUAAACUAAACAAUAAUCAGUCUGUGAGAUCCAGGCAUUUAAAGUCAGUUUUGUAAUUUUCUUCAGUUUACUUGUUUAUACUGUAGCUCAGCAGUUAAGGCAGUUUCAGCCUGUGAUAGAGAUCAUUACUGAAUGUUAUUCUCUGGUGUUUCAUUGACAAUUCUCUGUAUAACACACACCUAUGGCUAUAACUAUAACUAGAAAGGCUAUAACUGUGCUAUAGCCUUUCUAAAGGAAACUUAGUUUUAUAGUUCUGUAAACACUUUUAUUCUAAAACAACACUUCUUCAAUUAUUUUACCAGUUAUUAAAAUAGUAAAUUGUUAUUAAAUUAUUUUACUUAUUAUUUUUGAUAUAUUGGCUUUUGAAUUUACAUUUCCGGGUCUUAGGUGGUUUUUUUUUUCUUUGUAGUUAUUCUUAGUUUGAAAGGCUCUACUAUUUUUAAUCAAAAUAAAGAAAAAUUAUGGGCAUUCCCCUAAUUGGAGAAAAUAUUGUAUCAUAAUUGAAUAAACUCUUACAAUGCCUUGCCAGAA